RNAcentral lists this ribosomal RNA (603 nucleotides) under Bacillus sp. (in: firmicutes). RNAcentral's name for it is "bacterial SSU rRNA". It matches the Rfam family "Bacterial small subunit ribosomal RNA", at positions 33 to 620 of the family's 1533-position model. The record is from RNAcentral. Lineage: Bacteria; Bacillati; Bacillota; Bacilli; Caryophanales; Bacillaceae.
CCGUUGCGGCGGUGCUAUACAUGCAAGUCGAGCGGACAGAAGGGAGCUUGCUCCCGGAUGUUAGCGGCGGACGGGUGAGUAACACGUGGGUAACCUGCCUGUAAGACUGGGAUAACUCCGGGAAACCGGAGCUAAUACCGGAUAGUUCCUUGAACCGCAUGGUUCAAGGAUGAAAGACGGUUUCGGCUGUCACUUACAGAUGGACCCGCGGCGCAUUAGCUAGUUGGUGAGGUAACGGCUCACCAAGGCGACGAUGCGUAGCCGACCUGAGAGGGUGAUCGGCCACACUGGGACUGAGACACGGCCCAGACUCCUACGGGAGGCAGCAGUAGGGAAUCUUCCGCAAUGGACGAAAGUCUGACGGAGCAACGCCGCGUGAGUGAUGAAGGUUUUCGGAUCGUAAAGCUCUGUUGUUAGGGAAGAACAAGUGCAAGAGUAACUGCUUGCACCUUGACGGUACCUAACCAGAAAGCCACGGCUAACUACGUGCCAGCAGCCGCGGUAAUACGUAGGUGGCAAGCGUUGUCCGGGAAUUAUUGGGCGUAAAGGGCUCGCAGGCGGUUUCUUAAGUCUGAUGUGAAAGCCCCCGGCUCAACCGGGGGA